UGUCCCUUUGGAUUUUUCCCCAGAGUGCGCUCAUUCAGGGUGUUUGGGAACAAAACCAAACAUGUAUCAGUCGAGGAACUUGUGGAGUCAGUUGAAUUCCUGAAAAAAAAUGUCAUCAACUUUGAUGAUAAUGUCACACAUAAAGACGGCUUUUGGGGACAGGUGUGCAGUGCACUUACCAUUCCAAACACUAAAAACAAUCGCUAUAGACUGCUAAGAGCAUUUCGUAAGCACCAGCCAGAAUCGUUCCCAUCUCCAGUCCCAUCCGAAGACCGUGGAAGUGCAGCAGGAGAUGAAAGACGCAAGUCUUCUGAACCACACCAGCCAGAAUCGUCCCCAUCUCCAGUGACAUCCGAGGACAGUGGAAGUGCUGCAGGAGAUGCAACACACAAGUCUUCUGAACCACACCAGCCAGAAUCGUCUCCAUCUCCAGUGACAUCCGAGGACAGUGGAAGUGCUGCAGGAGAUGCAACACACAAGUCUUCUGAACCACACCAGCCAGAAUCGUCUCCAUCUCCAGUGACAUCCGAGGACAGUGGAAGU
Molecule: long non-coding RNA, 543 nt
Organism: Sinocyclocheilus grahami
Lineage: Eukaryota; Metazoa; Chordata; Actinopteri; Cypriniformes; Cyprinidae
Exons: 6
Source: RefSeq, a predicted model, not a curated record